AUUGAACGCUGGCGGCAUGCUUUACACAUGCAAGUCGAACGGCAGCGCGGGCUUCGGCCUGGCGGCGAGUGGCGAACGGGUGAGUAAUACAUCGGAACGUGCCCAGUAGUGGGGGAUAGCUCGGCGAAAGCCGGAUUAAUACCGCAUACGACCUGAGGGUGAAAGCGGGGGAUCUUCGGACCUCGCGCGAUUGGAGCGGCCGAUGGCAGAUUAGCUAGUUGGUGGGGUAAAGGCCUACCAAGGCGACGAUCUGUAGCUGGUCUGAGAGGACGACCAGCCACACUGGGACUGAGACACGGCCCAGACUCCUACGGGAGGCAGCAGUGGGGAAUUUUGGACAAUGGGCGAAAGCCUGAUCCAGCAAUGCCGCGUGUGUGAUGAAGGUCUUCGGGUUGUAAAGCACUUUUGGCGGGGACGAAAAGGACUGUGCCAAUACCACGGUUCGAUGACGGUACCCGCAGAAUAAGCACCGGCUAACUACGUG
This 484-nucleotide ribosomal RNA is filed under the name uncultured bacterium. RNAcentral's name for it is "partial 16S ribosomal RNA". It matches the Rfam family "Bacterial small subunit ribosomal RNA", at positions 29 to 507 of the family's 1533-position model. The record is from RNAcentral.